This 253-nucleotide ribosomal RNA is filed under the name uncultured bacterium. RNAcentral describes it as "partial 16S ribosomal RNA". It matches the Rfam family "Bacterial small subunit ribosomal RNA", at positions 524 to 776 of the family's 1533-position model. The record is from RNAcentral.
UACGGAGGGUGCGAGCGUUAUCCGGAAUUACUGGGUUUAAAGGGUGCGUAGGCGGCUUGGUAAGUCAGGAGUGAAAGUUUGCGGCUCAACCGUAAAAUUGCUCUUGAUACUGCCAGGCUAGAAUCAGGAUGAGGUCAGCGGAAUGUGGCAUGUAGCGGUGAAAUGCAUAGAUAUCAGGAGGAACACCUAUAGCGAAGGCAGCUUGCUGGGACGUAACUGACGCUAAGGCGCGAAAGCGUGGGGAGCGAACAGG